AAGAUUUUAAGUUAAUAAAACUAAUAACCUUCAAAGUUAUAAUUACACUUUAAGUAAAUCUUA
This 63-nucleotide transfer RNA is filed under the name Ujna puerana. RNAcentral describes it as "tRNA-Trp". Lineage: Eukaryota; Metazoa; Arthropoda; Insecta; Hemiptera; Cicadellidae. The record is from RNAcentral.